GGACUACUGGGGUUUCUAAUCCUGUUUGCUCCCCUAACUUUCGUGCCUCAGCGUCUCGGGUAGGCUAGAAAACCGCUUUCGCCACAGGUGUUCUUCCACGUAUCUACGCAUUUCACCGCUACUCGUGGAAUUCCAUUUUCUCCGCCAUCCGACAAGAAAUACAGUUUCACAUGCAGCUCCGAGGUUAAGCCCCGGAAUUUCACAUAUGACUUGUAUUCCCGCCUACGCACCCUUUACGCCCAGUAAUUCCGACUAACGCUUGCACCCUCCGUAUUACCGCGGCUGCUGGCAC
This 292-nucleotide ribosomal RNA is filed under the name uncultured bacterium. RNAcentral's name for it is "partial 16S ribosomal RNA". The record is from RNAcentral.